Molecule: ribosomal RNA, 527 nt
Filed under: uncultured bacterium
Lineage: Bacteria
Description: partial 16S ribosomal RNA
Rfam family: Bacterial small subunit ribosomal RNA
Source: RNAcentral
UGGGGAAUUUUGGACAAUGGGGGAAACCCUGAUCCAGCCAUCCCGCGUGUGCGAUGAAGGCCUUCGGGUUGUAAAGCACUUUUGGCAGGAAAGAAACGUCGCGGGUUAAUACCCCGCGAAACUGACGGUACCUGCAGAAUAAGCACCGGCUAACUACGUGCCAGCAGCCGCGGUAAUACGUAGGGUGCAAGCGUUAAUCGGAAUUACUGGGGCGUAAAGCGUGCGCAGGCGGUUCGGAAAGAAAGAUGUGAAAUCCCAGAGCUUAACUUUGGAACUGCAUUUUUAACUACCGGGCUAGAGUGUGUCAGAGGGAGGUGGAAUUCCGCGUGUAGCAGUGAAAUGCGUAGAUAUGCGGAGGAACACCGAUGGCGAAGGCAGCCUCCUGGGAUAACACUGACGCUCAUGCACGAAAGCGUGGGGAGCAAACAGGAUUAGAUACCCUGGUAGUCCACGCCCUAAACGAUGUCAACUAGCUGUUGGGGCCUUCGGGCCUUGGUAGCGCAGCUAACGCGUGAAGUUGACCGCCU